RNAcentral lists this long non-coding RNA (4153 nucleotides) under Gossypium barbadense (sea-island cotton). Its description in RNAcentral is "long non-coding RNA (GBAR_LNC014636)". The record is from RNAcentral. Lineage: Eukaryota; Viridiplantae; Streptophyta; Magnoliopsida; Malvales; Malvaceae.
AUUUCUAAAAAAAUACUAUUAGAGAUAAUGUACAAUAGAUAUUUGAGUAAAUUAAAUAGGUUUGACAGGCACUGAGAAGAGUUGUAAGUCCUAGUCUUACGCACAUUUUAUUUGCUGAUGACAACAUAGCCUUUGGUGAGGCUAUGAGAAGUGGUGCUCUGUUUUCAUCAUUCAGGAAUACGAACAUUUCUCGAGCCAACAGGUUAAUUUUUGUAAAUUUACUUAUUUUAGUGGUCGACUUUAUGUGAGCCUAAAUUUAUUGGGGGCAUGUGGUUUCAUGAUAUGGGGAAGUUCAACAUUGCUUUGUUAUCCAUAAAUUUAACAGUGUCAUGGCGAGGGAAGGAUUGGACGAUCCGAGCUCCAGUGAACGCCGGACACGACAGAGGCAGAGUCAGGAGAGGCGGUGGUAGUCAUGAAAGCAAAACGAGAAUCAGGUCUCUAGAAUCACGGCGACUGAUACCAUGUAAGUAACUCUAUAACAUUGAAUAAAAGAAAGAAAUACUGAAAUGAAAGGAAAUACUGAAAGACUGAAAGACUGAAUUACGUUAUAUUCAUUAUGGAACUUAUAUACUGACAAAGAAUGACUAACUGCUGCUAACUAAUCCACUAACAAUACACAAGACUCUGUUAAUAGACUAACAACCUUUCAUUUACAUACUUUAACACACCUGCAUUUUGCGUUGGAGGGCGGCUUUUCAAGUUGAAAAUGACAAUAUCUAAAUCACACACUGUCAGACUUCUCGUAGACAAGCAUUCCAGGCUCUAACUCCCGAUAAUAGCCGAUUACACUAAUCAUUUGGUAAACAAUUUCAUGCAUACGAGGAGACAUGCAACUUGUUGAUGAUUCAUUUACCGCUGUUGCUUCAGCUCUUGCAGGCAGAGCACAAAUUACGGUCACCUUGGCUCUCCUGGUAAACACAUUGAUUUCUACAAUUUCAUAACUUGUGACAGUACAUAGAAUUGGCAACCUGCGUGAAUUCAGAUUCUUGAAGGCCUCAUAAUCUGCAGUAUUAUCAACAACAGUCAGAUUAUACAUCAAUUCUAACAUAACUAAACUUCAAUACAUGACCAAGCUAAAAAAUAUUUUUAGGGGGUCAAAAUUAAAUUUUAAUAGUUUAUUAUUUUUAUAAUUUUUAAAUGAUUAAAUUAAAUUUUUAUCAUUUUUAUAGGUUUAAAAUAUAAUUUUAUAUUUACUAAUUUAAAAUUUUAAAAUUUUCUCAUUUAGGAAGCUGGAAUCUGCCAGUCCCCCUAUACGCUACUGCAUAUAUAUCUAUGGGUGUAACGUUCCCAUACGGAUGGUUGAAUUCCAAUAUCAUUGCCAAAAGGUUUCCUCCUGCAUCUGCAUUCUCUGAUGGGUAGAAAAUCUUUCCAUUUCUCCUUGAAAAUCGAAACUGAAUCUCCUUUUGCUUUGGGUCAUUAAUGGUAGGACAAUUUAGUCCACAAGUUCUCUCUUUGAACUUCCACUAUUGAAACCUCCUAGUAAUUACGUAGGGCUAUGUUGUGUGGAAAAAUGAGCAUCUUACCUAGUUAUAUUUGAAUCGUUUCUCUUCUCUUAAUCACGUCAAAAAAGAAUGUUGAAUUUAGACAUCACAUGGAACCACCAUGAUGAAAUAUCUCAAACUAAAAAGGAUUGAUUUUGAAGUUUUUCUAACUUCAAUUAUCAAAUAAAUUAUGAUUCAAUUUUUAAUUGAUGAUUGGUGUUUAUAGUCUUAACUAGAGGUGAUCAUGAGUCGGGCCGGAUUUGAGCCGGGCCAAACAAAAAUUUAAGUCUGUUUUCUAGGCCCGGGCCCGGCCCAAAAUAUGGGCCUAAAAAUUUUUCUAAGCCCGGUCCAUAUUGAAUAUGUAUUUAAUAUAUAUAAAAUAUAUAUUUGAUUAAAAAUAAAAAAUAAAUAUUUAAUAUAUAAUUCGGGCCGGGCCAAAAAAGUUUUACCCGAGGCCCGGCCUGUUUUCUAAACGGGUCUUAGUUUUUUGCCCAAACCCAUAUUUCAGGCCUAUAUUUUUACCCGAAUCCUCUCAUUUUUCAGGCGGGCCGUCGGGCCUGGCCGAAUAUCCCAACCCAUGAUCACCUCUAGUCUUAACAUAAUUUUUCUAUUAAUCCAUCUUAAUAAAUGAGUUACCUCCAUUAUAAUCUUUGUAUUGAUUUAAAAGAUUAAAAUUAUUAAUAAAUUAAUAGAUUCAAAUAUAUUUUCAUAUUAAUUUAUUGUUUUUGAUAGACUUAGUAUAUUAAGGAUUUAACAAAUAUCAUUUGAGCUUCAUCAUAUCAAUUUAUUAACAACAUACUAUAUUUUUAGGGUUUGAUUAUCUAUAAGAAAAUUUUAAGUAUCUAUAAUAAUAUAGAUUGAAUGCUUUGUGUAUUUUUGGCAUUAACGAGGAGUAUCCAUUAAAGUCUAUAAUCACAAUAAAAAAUCGAAAAUUCAUCUAUUUAAAUCCUUACUAGCUGAAGUUGGAGCUGAUUUCCCCUCUGGCUUCGACAAAACAGAGUUGACAGCCAAACCCAAAUUCCUCUAUCCAUCAACAUUCCUUGAACCAACCUCUCCCAACCACGUCUCAACAGUCGAAAGACCGUGAUUAACAAUGCAAUUGUAGAUGCCGAUCCUGAUAAAAUAAACAAACCUGAGAAAGGUCCGGGUCCUAUGCCUCGUUUCAUGGUGCCAUCACUAGUUGAACUCGAACAAUCUGAAAGAGAUAGCAUAUCUAAAUCUUCUUCCUUCAUCUGCUUGAAUCCCAGCACAGCCUCUAGCAUCUCAUUAACAAACGAAGAACCCCGUUGAAAUACCUGUAAUGCAAGUAAAAUAAGAGACCCAAAAAUGGUCAAAAGACAAGCCUAAAACCUUUAACAACAAAUUAACAUAACCAGAACUGAAAGAGAAUGAUUUUAUUACAAUGGAAGAACCGUGUCGAUUACAGUUUGGGUUUCCGAAACUUUUGCAGUAUUUUGCAAGAAAAAAGCAAUCAUCAGGCGUCCAAAAGAAUGCUGCCUUUAUAUUUCCAGUUGAUAGAGCCUUUGCAUAAUCAUCAAAUGAAGAUUGAGCAAUGUGCUUGAUAUUCUUUUUUUGGAACCCAAUGACCUUCACUAAAUACUGGAACAUAAUUGAAUGUUUCAUAUCACAACCCACAAUGGCAUUUGUUUUCUUAAGAUUUUUUAUAUCUAACCAACAUGGUGAUGCCUCGGUGUCUGAGCUUGUUAUCAUGGAAGUAAAGCUUUGUGUGUAGGUUGAGGAAACAACCAGGAUCAGUAUGAACCACGGGGCCAACACGAAAUAUGUUAAGUUGUUCCUCGGUGAUUCUCCUGCAAUAUAAAUAGUUUAUCUGUAAGUGGUAUCCUUAUAGAACGUGCUCAGAAACUAGGGGAACCACCAUAGAUUUAUCUUACUAUGCCCUCCAUAGAAGAGAAUUGCUAUAGGGAACCACAAAAUAGCUCCAACUUGUCCGAAAGGCAAACUACCAGAUUCAUGACUAGUUGUAGAUUCAACUAACCAAAUAACAAAAACAUUGAAGACCGUCAUAGCUGACAAAGUAGACCACAUCACGUUGGUGAAAGGCAUCAUGAAUGAAAAAACUUGGUUCAGUUCAAGGUCUUCCUUCCUCAAUUGAUCUGAGCCUUUUUCAAAAUAUGGAGAUGAUAGUCCUACAUAAAUCUGGUCUGUCACCAUUCUUUGGUAAUCCCUAAUUACUGGUAAGCCAAUGGCUGCAUCAUAAUCCUUCAAUACAUAAAAAAAAAAAUUUGCAAUUUCAGCCAGUCAACAGAUAUUUAAUUAUAGCUACUUACUUUACUGUAAGCUUCAAGAUUCAGAUAUUCAAAAUUGUAAAGCAAAGGGAAGAGAUUAUAAGGAACAAAAAUUAACCUUGCCUGAAACUUCAUUAAGCGAUUCAUCAAUAGAAGCACUACAAAGUCGAAACAUUUUUUUUUUCCUUGUGGUGUUUGUUGCCAUUAUUGCAGCAGCUUUCUUAAAAGUAUCAAUCCAAAACCCUGUUAAUUGUGUAUUCUUGUGGUUCUUCUCGUCAGGGCUUAUGCUAACAAACUCGCUGAGAUUCGAUCUUACUGGAGCAGAAAUGCCUAACUCUGUAUAAUAGUGAACCGGCUUGGAUGUCGAAAACGAUAAAGUUGUAGCCAUUUCAACGAUCCCUCCUGCAUUUGGCGUUGGAUUGCAGC